RNAcentral lists this transfer RNA (73 nucleotides) under Mus musculus (house mouse). Its description in RNAcentral is "tRNA-Ser". The record is from RNAcentral. Lineage: Eukaryota; Metazoa; Chordata; Mammalia; Rodentia; Muridae.
GGAGAGAUGGCUCAAUGGUUAAGAGCACUGACUGCUCUUCCAGAGGUCCUGAGUUCAAUUCCCAGCAACCACA